Molecule: unclassified non-coding RNA, 279 nt
Filed under: plant metagenome
Description: partial contains small subunit ribosomal RNA, internal transcribed spacer 1, and 5.8S ribosomal RNA
Source: RNAcentral
UUUCCGUAGGUGAACCUGCGGAAGGAUCAUUAAAGUAUAACGGAGAUUCGAGGGCUGUCGCUGUCCCGAAAGCUCGUGCACGCCCGUGAGCCCUCACACCCAUACAUCACAGCCCCCUGUGUCCUACCGAGAGGGUGCCACUUAGGCAUGUUCGGAGGGGGGCUUACGUAUUCACACAAACUUUGCAUGCAGUGUAGAUUGUAUUGUUUGUUUUUGUGAUCACGCAAACAAUACAACAUACAGCAACGGAUAUCUUGGCUCUCGCAUCGAAGAAGAACG